ACCUAACUGGCUCAGUUGGUAGAGCAUGAGGCUCUUGAUCUCGGGAUUAUGAGUUCAAGCCCCAUGUUGAGUG
Molecule: transfer RNA, 73 nt
Filed under: Felis catus (domestic cat)
Lineage: Eukaryota; Metazoa; Chordata; Mammalia; Carnivora; Felidae
Also listed under: 3 other names
Rfam family: tRNA
About the family: Transfer RNA (tRNA) molecules are approximately 80 nucleotides in length.
Source: Rfam by way of RNAcentral